Long non-coding RNA from Manacus vitellinus (golden-collared manakin), 389 nucleotides. RefSeq lists it as uncharacterized. The record is from RefSeq and is a predicted model, not a curated record. The transcript is spliced from 3 exons. Lineage: Eukaryota; Metazoa; Chordata; Aves; Passeriformes; Pipridae.
UCAGAGCGUUUCGCGCCUGGAGCAGGAACGCAGCAAGAGCGGCAUUGGAGACAAACCGUCAUUGUCAGAGCAAGAGCAUUGUCCCAAAAUAGGUUCUUGCACCCAGUGUGCAAAAGGCUGAUCACGCACAGUGUGGAGGAGCAGUUGGGAGCAAGAGCAGCAGAAGUGCAGUGGGAGCCCGAGUUGGCAGAGCUGUGAGACAGAGCACAAUCCACCAUGUACUGGUGGAACAGGGCCUCAAACACCACCAGGAUGCACAUUGAGCUGAACAAGAGCUCCCAGGACUGCCAGCCAAAUGAAGUGCAUGCAUUUAACUUCCCUUUGUCAAAUGCUGGCAAAGAUAAUCCUCAGGGAAGCUUUGACUGUGUCCAGCAAACAAGCUCAACGUA